Molecule: long non-coding RNA, 418 nt
Filed under: Drosophila guanche
Lineage: Eukaryota; Metazoa; Arthropoda; Insecta; Diptera; Drosophilidae
Source: RNAcentral
GUACAAGUAUUUUUUCUCAGAAAACUUUCACUUAUUAAUGCAUUACUUUUUAGGGAAAUUCAUCACUUAUAAACCGGUUUGCUCUCGAUGACAAGUCAAAAGGGCAAAAGGGCAUUAGUGGAGCAGUGGUAAUGUCCCUAUUUCGAUAGACACUUGGCUGAAAGAUCUUCCGAGAGCCCAGGUUCUUCAGCUCCAGCUGAAACGUAGACAGUGUUUUAAUCAUGAUUGAAUGGCUGAAACCAUGAGACCUAUAAAUGUUUUUGAAGUUUUUGAAGAAUUCGUUAUUCAAUUACCACAGAUUUUUAUAAAAAGUAUAAUGUUAUAGUUAACGAGCAACGGAUGUCUAGUUUUACAUAAAGUUAGGAAUGAAGACCCCGAGUCAUCCCAUCCUGACGAGGAUUUGGAAGCUGAACAGCGC